GAUGAACGCUGGCGGCGUGCUUAACACAUGCAAGUCGAACGAUGAUGCCCAGCUUGCUGGGUGGAUUAGUGGCGAACGGGUGAGUAACACGUGAGUAACCUGCCCUUGACUCUGGGAUAAGCCUGGGAAACUGGGUCUAAUACCGGAUACGACCAUCUGGCGCAUGUCAUGGUGGUGGAAAGCUUUUGUGGUUUUGGAUGGACUCGCGGCCUAUCAGCUUGUUGGUGGGGUAAUGGCCUACCAAGGCGACGACGGGUAGCCGGCCUGAGAGGGUGACCGGCCACACUGGGACUGAGACGCGGCCCAGACUCCUACGGGAGGCAGCAGUGGGGAAUAUUGCACAAUGGGCGCAAGCCUGAUGCAGCGACGCCGCGUGAGGGAUGACGGCCUUCGGGUUGUAAACCUCUUUCAGUAGGGAAGAAGCGAAAGUGACGGUACCUGCAGAAGAAGCGCCGGCUAACUACGUG
RNAcentral lists this ribosomal RNA (467 nucleotides) under uncultured bacterium. Its description in RNAcentral is "partial 16S ribosomal RNA". It matches the Rfam family "Bacterial small subunit ribosomal RNA", at positions 28 to 507 of the family's 1533-position model. The record is from RNAcentral.